UGCAAGUCGAGCGAAUCAAUGGGAGCUUGCUCCCUGAGAUUAGCGGCGGACGGGUGAGUAACACGUGGGUAACCUGCCUGUAAGAUUGGGAUAACUCCGGGAAACCGGAGCUAAUACCGGAUAACAUUUCGAACCGCAUGGUUCGAAAUUGAAAGAUGGUUUCGGCUAUCACUUACAGAUGGACCCGCGGCGCAUUAGCUAGUUGGUGAGGUAACGGCUCACCAAGGCGACGAUGCGUAGCCGACCUGAGAGGGUGAUCGGCCACACUGGGACUGAGACACGGCCCAGACUCCUACGGGAGGCAGCAGUAGGGAAUCUUCCGCAAUGGACGAAAGUCUGACGGAGCAACGCCGCGUGAACGAUGAAGGCCUUCGGGUCGUAAAGUUCUGUUGUUAGGGAAGAACAAGUACCAGAGUAACUGCUGGUACCUUGACGGUACCUAACCAGAAAGCCACGGCUAACUACGUGCCAGCAGCCGCGGUAAUACGUAGGUGGCAAGCGUUGUCCGGAAUUAUUGGGCGUAAAGCGCGCGCAGGCGGUUUCUUAAGUCUGAUGUGAAAGCCCACGGCUCAACCGUGGAGGGUCAUUGGAAACUGGGGAACUUGAGUGCAGAAGAGGAGAGUGGAAUUCCACGUGUAGCGGUGAAAUGCGUAGAGAUGUGGAGGAACACCAGUGGCGAAGGCGACUCUCUGGUCUGUAACUGACGCUGAGGCGCGAAAGCGUGGGGAGCGAACAGGAUUAGAUACCCUGGUAGUCCACGCCGUAAACGAUGAGUGCUAAGUGUUAGAGGGUUUCCGCCCUUUAGUGCUGCAGCAAACGCAUUAAGCACUCCGCCUGGGGAGUACGGUCGCAAGACUGAAACUCAAAGGAAUUGACGGGGGCCGCACAAGCGGUGGAACAUGUGGUUUAAUUCGAAGCAACGCG
RNAcentral lists this ribosomal RNA (924 nucleotides) under Metabacillus sp. RNAcentral describes it as "bacterial SSU rRNA". It matches the Rfam family "Bacterial small subunit ribosomal RNA", at positions 56 to 963 of the family's 1533-position model. The record is from RNAcentral. Lineage: Bacteria; Bacillati; Bacillota; Bacilli; Caryophanales; Bacillaceae.